UGAUUACAGGCUUUAAGUGAACAGCUAGGUUGGUGGAGUUUGGGUCAAAAGUUUUCUGAUUUAUAAGCGUUGGCUCAAACUGGCAAGUCCCAACUUACAAAGAAAAAAUUCAGCUUACCAAAUUCGAACGGUUUCAGGUAGCGCGGGUCGGAGAUAUCUACUAUGUUUUUCCUCAUCUUUUUGUUAGAACUUGGCACUGCUUCAACGAAGGAGUGUUCAGAUUUGGGUGUAUCUGAGCUUACUGGCGUACUAGGAACUCGAGAGCUGCUUACUUUCUUUUCUUCACUUGAUUCUAUAGGCAAAAAAAUGAAAAGGUGGUGGUAAAAAUAAAUUAAAAGUGAUAUUCAGGAACAUGAAACAGAUGAAAUGCCAUUAAAAAUGACACUCCCUAGAAAGUAAAAAAUGAAUAGUGUUAUCUUAUCCAUGAGUUGAUCACCAAUAUAUAGACUGAUUACCCUUAGCAAUUCUCAAGUACGAUUAAAAACAUGGGUAAUUUAGCGACAAGAGAAAAAAAACGGCUAAAAGCUCCUCUACAAUUUGUAAAUGCAUAACAUGACUUUAAGGGACUCAUACUACAUUUAGCACCAGGAAUCAGAAGAUCUUCUUUCAAGAUCAUAUCUUUUUGAGAAAGAGGCUUUGAAACACAAAAACCAAUAAUUUCAAGAGAAUAAUCAAAGACUGGAAUGAGCUUUACCAAUUGGAGUUUUGUGGCCAACAACUGCUUAUCUAGAACUCAUAAUUGCGCAGUAAUUCUAAUUUAACUGAUAAUGAAAAUGAAACAAAUAACAAAAUGAAAAGCAAAAACUUCUUCUGGCAUUAGUGUAUCAUUUGAUGAUUAUUUAUUGCUUACACUACCGGCUAAAUUUCCUGAAAUGAAACUCAUUGUUCAUUUUUAUUCAUAUCCCACAGUUCCAUUAUGUCUGCAUCAGUUCCAAAGAGGGGGACUCUCCCGUGGUUGGUAUCUCUCUUUCAAAAAGACCUCAAUCCAUGGGUUAAGACCUUCAUAGAUUCGGAGCAGUUGUGUAAAAUGCGAACGGCAAGUAGCGUAAAUGCUGCGCACACAUACAAGACAACCCCAUUGUACAUAAUUCCAGUUGGACUUUAUUGGGUGGAAUAA
Molecule: long non-coding RNA, 1117 nt
Filed under: Bemisia tabaci
Lineage: Eukaryota; Metazoa; Arthropoda; Insecta; Hemiptera; Aleyrodidae
Description: lncRNA ENSSSA2NGG006070
Source: RNAcentral